UUUAUGGAGAGUUUGAUCCUGGCUCAGGAUGAACGCUGGCGGCGUGCCUAAUACAUGCAAGUCGAGCGAACGGACGAGAAGCUUGCUUCUCUGAUGUUAGCGGCGGACGGGUGAGUAACACGUGGAUAACCUACCUAUAAGACUGGGAUAACUUCGGGAAACCGGAGCUAAUACCGGAUAAUAUUUUGAACCGCAUGGUUCAAAAGUGAAAGACGGUCUUGCUGUCACUUAUAGAUGGAUCCGCGCUGCAUUAGCUAGUUGGUAAGGUAACGGCUUACCAAGGCAACGAUGCAUAGCCGACCUGAGAGGGUGAUCGGCCACACUGGAACUGAGACACGGUCCAGACUCCUACGGGAGGCAGCAGUAGGGAAUCUUCCGCAAUGGGCGAAAGCCUGACGGAGCAACGCCGCGUGAGUGAUGAAGGUCUUCGGAUCGUAAAACUCUGUUAUUAGGGAAGAACAUAUGUGUAAGUAACUGUGCACAUCUUGACGGUACCUAACCAGAAAGCCACGGCUAACUACGUGCCAGCAGCCGCGGUAAUACGUAGGUGGCAAGCGUUAUCCGGAAUUAUUGGGCGUAAAGCGCGCGCAGGUGGUUUCUUAAGUCUGAUGUGAAAGCCCACGGCUCAACCGUGGAGGGUCAUUGGAAACUGGGAGACUUGAGUGCAGAAGAGGAAAGUGGAAUUCCAUGUGUAGCGGUGAAAUGCGUAGAGAUAUGGAGGAACACCAGUGGCGAAGGCGACUUUCUGGUCUGUAACUGACACUGAGGCGCGAAAGCGUGGGGAGCAAACAGGAUUAGAUACCCUGGUAGUCCACGCCGUAAACGAUGAGUGCUAAGUGUUAGAGGGUUUCCGCCCUUUAGUGCUGAAGCUAACGCAUUAAGCACUCCGCCUGGGGAGUACGGCCGCAAGGCUGAAACUCAAAGGAAUUGACGGGGACCCGCACAAGCGGUGGAGCAUGUGGUUUAAUUCGAAGCAACGCGAAGAACCUUACCAAAUCUUGACAUCCUUUGACAACUCUAGAGAUAGAGCCUUCCCCUUCGGGGGACAAAGUGACAGGUGGUGCAUGGUUGUCGUCAGCUCGUGUCGUGAGAUGUUGGGUUAAGUCCCGCAACGAGCGCAACCCUUAAGCUUAGUUGCCAUCAUUAAGUUGGGCACUCUAAGUUGACUGCCGGUGACAAACCGGAGGAAGGUGGGGAUGACGUCAAAUCAUCAUGCCCCUUAUGAUUUGGGCUACACACGUGCUACAAUGGACAAUACAAAGGGCAGCGAAACCGCGAGGUCAAGCAAAUCCCAUAAAGUUGUUCUCAGUUCGGAUUGUAGUCUGCAACUCGACUACAUGAAGCUGGAAUCGCUAGUAAUCGUAGAUCAGCAUGCUACGGUGAAUACGUUCCCGGGUCUUGUACACACCGCCCGUCACACCACGAGAGUUUGUAACACCCGAAGCCGGUGGAGUAACCUUUUAGGAGCUAGCCGUCGAAGGUGGGACAAAUGAUUGGGGUGAAGUCGUAACAAGGUAGCCGUAUCGGAAGGUGCGGCUGGAUCACCUCCUUU
Molecule: ribosomal RNA, 1552 nt
Filed under: Staphylococcus aureus
Lineage: Bacteria; Bacillati; Bacillota; Bacilli; Caryophanales; Staphylococcaceae
Description: 16S ribosomal RNA
Rfam family: Bacterial small subunit ribosomal RNA
Source: RNAcentral